GACGAACGCUGGCGGCGUGCUUAAUACAUGCAAGUCGAACGAUGAAAGCUGGAGCUUGCUCCGGCUGGAUUAGUGGCGAACGGGUGAGUAACACGUGAGUAACCUGCCCCUCACUCUGGGAUAACCUCGGGAAACCGAAGCUAAUACCGGAUACGACCCUCGGAGGCAUCUCCAGGGGGUGGAACGAAUUUCGGUGAGGGAUGGACUCGCGGCCUAUCAGGUAGUUGGUGAGGUAAUGGCUCACCAAGCCGACGACGGGUAGCCGGCCUGAGAGGGUGACCGGCCACACUGGGACUGAGACACGGCCCAGACUCCUACGGGAGGCAGCAGUAGGGAAUAUUGCACAAUGGGCGCAAGCCUGAUGCAGCAACGCCGCGUGAGGGACGACGGCCUCGGUUGUAA
This 402-nucleotide ribosomal RNA is filed under the name uncultured bacterium. RNAcentral describes it as "bacterial SSU rRNA". It matches the Rfam family "Bacterial small subunit ribosomal RNA", at positions 28 to 428 of the family's 1533-position model. The record is from RNAcentral.